UGAAGGCCCUCUUUCUUCAUUUCUAUCAAAUCCCUAAUUCCCUUUUUACUCGAUCGAUUAGGGUUUUUUUUCCUCCAAUUUCCUUCCACCUUUCUUCGUCUCUCUGAUUACUUUCCAAUUUCGUGACAUGCAGCACAAAAUUUAUUAAAAGUAUAAGCAUGUCAAAGAUUUGAAAUAAAGUAUUUUUAUUUGCGUACCAGAUGCUGGCGUUUAUUGUGGCUUUCUGCAUUAAGAUUUGAUUGUGAUUGAAAUCCACUCCCCAGCAACCAACAUUGAAGGCUAUGCUUAAAUUCAUUCACAGUGGGGAACUCAG
Molecule: long non-coding RNA, 313 nt
Filed under: Gossypium barbadense (sea-island cotton)
Lineage: Eukaryota; Viridiplantae; Streptophyta; Magnoliopsida; Malvales; Malvaceae
Description: long non-coding RNA (GBAR_LNC016277)
Source: RNAcentral